UGGGAACGAAAAGACACUCGUGGAGGCGUC
This 30-nucleotide non-coding RNA is filed under the name Homo sapiens (human). The record is from RNAcentral. Lineage: Eukaryota; Metazoa; Chordata; Mammalia; Primates; Hominidae.